AGCAGCCGCGGUAAUUCCAGCUCCAAUAGCGUAUAUUAAAGUUGUUGCAGUUAAAAAGCUCGUAGUUGAAUUUCGGGAUUGACGUGAUGGUCGUGCCUUACGGGGUAUGAACUGUUGCUGUUGAUUUCUCACCUUCUGGAGAAACUUGAUGUCCUUAAUUGGGUGUCUUGCGGAUCCAGGACCUUUACCUUGAAAAAUUAGAGUGUUUAAAGCAGGCAUUUUGCUCGAAUACAUUAGCAUGGAAUAAUAGAAUAGGACGGCAUGGUUCUAUUUUGUUGGUUUCUAGGAUCACCGUAAUGAUUAAUAGGGAUAGUUGGGGGCAUUAGUAUUCAAUUGUCAGAGGUGAAAUUCUUGGAUUUAUUGAAGACUAACUACUGCGAAAGCAUUUGCCAAGGAUGUUUUCAUUAAUCAAGAACGAAAGUUAGGGGAUCGAAGACGAUCAGAUACCGUCGUAGUCUUAACCAUAAACUAUG
This 473-nucleotide ribosomal RNA is filed under the name uncultured Entrophospora. RNAcentral describes it as "SSU rRNA". It matches the Rfam family "Eukaryotic small subunit ribosomal RNA", at positions 569 to 1041 of the family's 1831-position model. The record is from RNAcentral. Lineage: Eukaryota; Fungi; Glomeromycota; Glomeromycetes; Entrophosporales; Entrophosporaceae.